UCAGAAGUGCGAAUGCUGACAUAAGUAACGAUAAAGCGGGUGAAAAGCCCGCUCGCCGGAAGACCAAGGGUUCCUGUCCAACGUUAAUCGGGGCAGGGUGAGUCGACCCCUAAGGCGAGGCCGAAAGGCGUAGUCGAUGGGAAACAGGUUAAUAUUCCUGUACUUGGUGUUACUGCGAAGGGGGGACGGAGAAGGCUAUGUUGGCCGGGCGACGGUUGUCCCGGUUUAAGCGUGUAGGCUGGUUUUCCAGGCAAAUCCGGAAAAUCAAGGCUGAGGCGUGAUGACGAGGCACUACGGUGCUGAAGCAACAAAUGCCCUGCUUCCAGGAAAAGCCUCUAAGCAUCAGGUAACAUCAAAUCGUACCCCAAACCGACACAGGUGGUCAGGUAGAGAAUACCAAGGCGCUUGAGAGAACUCGGGUGAAGGAACUAGGCAAAAUGGUGCCGUAACUUCGGGAGAAGGCACGCUGAUAUGUAGGUGAAGUCCCUUGCGGAUGGAGCUGAAAUCAGUCGAAGAUACCAGCUGGCUGCAACUGUUUAUUAAAAACACAGCACUGUGCAAACACGAAAGUGGACGUAUACGGUGUGACGCCUGCCCGGUGCCGGAAGGUUAAUUGAUGGGGUUAGCGCAAGCGAAGCUCUUGAUCGAAGCCCCGGUAAACGGCGGCCGUAACUAUAACGGUCCUAAGGUAGCGAAAUUCCUUGUCGGGUAAGUUCCGACCUGCACGAAUGGCGUAAUGAUGGCCAGGCUGUCUCCACCCGAGACUCAGUGAAAUUGAACUCGCUGUGAAGAUGCAGUGUACCCGCGGCAAGACGGAAAGACCCCGUGAACCUUUACUAUAGCUUGACACUGAACAUUGAGCCUUGAUGUGUAGGAUAGGUGGGAGGCUUUGAAGUGUGGACGCCAGUCUGCAUGGAGCCGACCUUGAAAUACCACCCUUUAAUGUUUGAUGUUCUAACGUGGACCCGUGAUCCGGGUUGCGGACAGUGUCUGGUGGGUAGUUUGACUGGGGCGGUCUCCUCCUAAAGAGUAACGGAGGAGCACGAAGGUUGGCUAAUCCUGGUCGGACAUCAGGAGGUUAGUGCAAUGGCAUAAGCCAGCUUGACUGCGAGCGUGACGGCGCGAGCAGGUGCGAAAGCAGGUCAUAGUGAUCCGGUGGUUCUGAAUGGAAGGGCCAUCGCUCAACGGAUAAAAGGUACUCCGGGGAUAACAGGCUGAUACCGCCCAAGAGUUCAUAUCGACGGCGGUGUUUGGCACCUCGAUGUCGGCUCAUCACAUCCUGGGGCUGAAGUAGGUCCCAAGGGUAUGGCUGUUCGCCAUUUAAAGUGGUACGCGAGCUGGGUUUAGAACGUCGUGAGACAGUUCGGUCCCUAUCUGCCGUGGGCGCUGGAGAACUGAGGGGGGCUGCUCCUAGUACGAGAGGACCGGAGUGGACGCAUCACUGGUGUUCGGGUUGUCAUGCCAAUGGCACUGCCCGGUAGCUAAAUGCGGAAGAGAUAAGUGCUGAAAGCAUCUAAGCACGAAACUUGCC
RNAcentral lists this ribosomal RNA (1531 nucleotides) under Escherichia coli. RNAcentral describes it as "partial 23S ribosomal RNA". It matches the Rfam family "Bacterial large subunit ribosomal RNA", at positions 1282 to 2798 of the family's 2925-position model. Lineage: Bacteria; Pseudomonadati; Pseudomonadota; Gammaproteobacteria; Enterobacterales; Enterobacteriaceae. The record is from RNAcentral.